RNAcentral lists this ribosomal RNA (435 nucleotides) under uncultured bacterium. Its description in RNAcentral is "partial 16S ribosomal RNA". It matches the Rfam family "Bacterial small subunit ribosomal RNA", at positions 29 to 507 of the family's 1533-position model. The record is from RNAcentral.
AACGAACGCUGGCGGCAUGCCUAACACAUGCAAGUCGAACGAUUGCCUUCGGGUGAUAGUGGCGCACGGGUGCGUAACGCGUGGGAAUCUGCCCUUAGGUUCGGAAUAACAGCUGGAAACGGCUGCUAAUACCGGAUGAUAUCGCGAGAUCAAAGAUUUAUCGCCUGAGGAUGAGCCCGCGUUGGAUUAGGUAGUUGGUGGGGUAAAGGCCUACCAAGCCGACGAUCCAUAGCUGGUCUGAGAGGAUGAUCAGCCACACUGGGACUGAGACACAGCCCAGACUCCUACGGGAGGCAGCAGUGGGGAAUAUUGGACAAUGGGCGCAAGCCUGAUCCAGCAAUGCCGCGUGAGUGAUGAAGGCCCUAGGGUUGUAAAGCUCUUUUACCCGGGAAGAUAAUGACUGUACCGGGAGAAUAAGCCCCGGCUAACUCCGUG